Molecule: transfer RNA, 71 nt
Filed under: Loxodonta africana (African savanna elephant)
Lineage: Eukaryota; Metazoa; Chordata; Mammalia; Proboscidea; Elephantidae
Rfam family: tRNA
About the family: Transfer RNA (tRNA) molecules are approximately 80 nucleotides in length. Their secondary structure includes four short double-helical elements and three loops (D, anti-codon, and T loops). Further hydrogen bonds mediate the characteristic L-shaped molecular structure. tRNAs have two regions of fundamental functional importance: the anti-codon, which is responsible for specific mRNA codon recognition, and the 3' end, to which the tRNAs corresponding amino acid is attached (by aminoacyl-tRNA synthetases). tRNAs cope with the degeneracy of the genetic code in two manners: having more than one tRNA (with a specific anti-codon) for a particular amino acid; and 'wobble' base-pairing, i.e. permitting non-standard base-pairing at the 3rd anti-codon position.
Source: Rfam by way of RNAcentral
GCAAUGGUGAUUUAGCGGUAGAAUUUUCACCUUUCAUGAGGGAGUCCUAGGUUCGACUCCUGGCCAAUGUA